RNAcentral lists this ribosomal RNA (923 nucleotides) under uncultured bacterium. Its description in RNAcentral is "bacterial SSU rRNA". It matches the Rfam family "Bacterial small subunit ribosomal RNA", at positions 8 to 916 of the family's 1533-position model. The record is from RNAcentral.
AGAGUUUGAUCCUGGCUCAGGACUAACGCUGGCGGCGUGCUUAACACAUGCAAGUUGAACGGGGUACUUCUUGUAGCAAUAUGAGGAGUACUUAGUAGCGGACGGGUGAGUAACGCGUGAACAAUCUACCUUUGUGAGGGGGACAACAGCUGGAAACGGCUGCUAAUACCGCAUGAGACCACGGCUUCGAGUGGAGCUGAGGUAAAAGAUUUAUCGCACAAAGAUGAGUUCGCGUCCCAUUAGCUAGUUGGUGAGGUAACGGCUCACCAAGGCGACGAUGGGUAGCCGACCUGAGAGGGUGAUCGGCCACAUUGGAACUGAGACACGGUCCAAACUCCUACGGGAGGCAGCAGUGGGGAAUAUUGCACAAUGGGCGAAACCCUGAUCCAGCCAUACCGCGUGAGUGAAGAAGGCCUUCGGGUUGUAAAGCUCUUUCAGCUGGAAAGAAAACGCCAUCUCUAAUACAGGUGGUGGAUGACGGUACCAGCAGAAGAAGCACCGGCUAACUACGUGCCAGCAGCCGCGGUAAUACGUAGGGUGCGAGCGUUAAUCGGAAUUACUGGGCGUAAAGCGUGCGCAGGCUGUUUGGCAAGUCAGAUGUGAAAUCCCCGAGCUCAACUUGGGAACUGCGUUUGAAACUGCCAGACUAGAAUAGGUCAGAGGGGGGUAGAAUUCCACGUGUAGCAGUGAAAUGCGUAGAGAUGUGGAGGAAUACCAAUGGCGAAGGCAGCCCCCUGGGAUCAUAUUGACGCUCAUGCACGAAAGCGUGGGGAGCGAACAGGAUUAGAUACCCUGGUAGUCCACGCCCUAAACGAUGUCAACUAGUUGUUGGUGGAGUAAAAUCCAUGAGUAACGUAGCUAACGCGUGAAGUUGACCGCCUGGGGAGUACGGUCGCAAGAUUAAAACUCAAAGGAAUUGACGG